Molecule: transfer RNA, 75 nt
Filed under: Nitrospinota bacterium
Lineage: Bacteria; Pseudomonadati; Nitrospinota
Also listed under: 2 other names
Description: tRNA-Val
Rfam family: tRNA
About the family: Transfer RNA (tRNA) molecules are approximately 80 nucleotides in length. Their secondary structure includes four short double-helical elements and three loops (D, anti-codon, and T loops).
Source: RNAcentral
GGGCGCGUAGCUCAGGGGGAGAGCGCUUGCUUGACACGCAAGAGGUCGGUGGUUCGAUACCACCCGUGCCCACCA